Long non-coding RNA from Pan troglodytes (chimpanzee), 2391 nucleotides. RefSeq lists it as uncharacterized. The transcript has 3 exons. The record is from RefSeq and is a predicted model, not a curated record. Lineage: Eukaryota; Metazoa; Chordata; Mammalia; Primates; Hominidae.
AAUAAGAGAGAGAGGGGACCAGCAUGCUGAGGGAUGAACAGGACAGGUCUGGAUUUCCCUGGAAACGCCAACCAGCAGAGUGGGUGGGAGGCUGCUGCUUUUCUCCCCACAGCUUCUGGUGGCCACUGCCAAUGGAGAAGAGGCCACAGAAUUCUGAGGCAGAGCUUCUGCAAGCAUCUUGGACAUGGUCAGUUUCUUUGCUGUUUUGAUGUCCCUCCUCUGAGCCCUCAUCUCCUGAAAAUACGGUGACCCCAGUUUCCUCACCAGGAGGAUCAGAGGACAAAAUCACUGACAUUUCAUAGUAUCACACUUACCUAUCUUAAUCUUCCGUGCUUAACUCUGCCCUUCUCUCCACUCAGGGCAUUCCUGUCUUCAGCAUUAGGUGUAACAGACUCAGGAUUACAUAGUGCUUAUGCUGCAGACUUUUUCCCUUUACCUUCACACCCCUCCAUCCUGGCAUUGGUUUUAAUGUUUCUCACCCCUCCCUUUCUGGCAGGCCUCUUGUACUUUUUUGUAGAUUGACUUGCCAAAUUACAGAUUUGGUCCUUCCAAGAAGUGUAACCUUAGAGAAACCUUGGCAGAUAUGGCACUUUAAGGAUGGUUACAAGUUCUUUGACUUUCUUUCCAUCAGGAGAUUGGAUGGGGGUGGGACGUCUAUGGCCUUUUGCCUUGAAAAUGUGUGGCUCAGUGACUGCUUUAACAGUAGAAAAUGGCGGAAAUAAUAUUGUACUACCUGUUGAGCUCAGCCUUUAAGAAAUUAGCAGGUUCUAUUCUGGUUCUUAGAAAACUUUCUUUAAGAGCCCUAAGCCAUGUGAGAAGUGCAACUACCUGAGGCCUCAUGCCAGAGAGGCCAGCAUGGGUGCUCUGGUCCAUGGCCCCAGCUGAGCCCAGCCUGCCAGUCAUCCCUGCCAGGGUGCCAGACACGGGCAUGAAGCCACAUUGGAUCCUCCGCGCAACAUAUCUGCCAGCCAAAUACCUGAGCAACCUCAAUCAAUGUCUCAUGGAGUGGAAAAAUCACCCAGGAUCUUGCUGCGUCACUCAGGCUGGAGUGCAGUGGCACAAUCACGGCUCAUUGCAACCUCGACUCCCCAGGUUCAAGCAAUCCUCCCACUUCAACCUCCAAAGUAGCUAGGACUACAGGUGUGGCCAUGCCUAGCUAACUUUUAAAAUUUGUUCUAGAGAUGGGGUCUCACUCUAUUGCCCAGGCUGGUCUUGAACUCCUGAGCUCAAAUGUCCCACCAACCUUGUGCUCCCAAAGUGCUGGGAUUAUGAGUGUGAGCCACUGCAUCUGGUGGCUUCCUUUUUUUAAUCCCAAUUUUUUAUUCCUUAAAAAUUUUUUCAGGUGUACAUUGUAAAAUUUGUUUUCUAUUUUACCAUUUUUCCAAAUGGCUACCCAGUUGUCCCAACAGCAUAUAUUAAAUAUUCUAUCUUCUGUAUUGAUGUGAAUUGCCAUCCUUAACAUUUACUAAAUUUGCUUAUUAUUGAUUGAUUUUGGAGAAGGGGUCUCACUUUGUCAUACAGGCUGAAGUGCAGAGGUGUAAUUACAACCCACUGCAGCCUCUACCUUCUGGGCUCAAGUGAUCCUCCCCACUCAGCCUCCUGAGUAGCUGGGACCACAGGCAUGUGCCACCAUGACUGGCUAAUGUUUAAAUUUUUUGUAGUGAUAAGGUCUCUCUAUGUUGCUCCAGCUGGUCUCCAACUCCUGGGUUCAAGGAAUGCUCCCACCUCUGCCUCCCAAAGUGCUGGGAUUACAGAUAUGACCCACCGUGCCCAGGCUGCUUAUUUUUAUUUUUAUUUUUUUGAGACAAGAUUUUGCUCUGUCACCCAGCCUGGAGUGUGCAGUGGCAUGAUCUCGGCUCACUGCACCCUCGACUUCCUGAGCUCAGGUGAUUCUCCCACCUCAGCCUUCCAAGUAGCUGGGACUACAGGCCCACAUCACCACGCCAGGCUAACUUUUGUAUUUUUAGUAGAGACAGGAUUUCAGCGUGUUACCCAGGCUGGUCUCAAACUCCUGGACUCAAGCAAUCCUCCCACCUCGGGCUCCAAAAAUGCUAGGAUUACAGGCGUGAGCCACCCAGCCUGGCCUGCUUAUGAAUUUUGGUCUAGUUUUAGACAUCCUAUUCUACGACUUGACUUGUCUGUUUAUUCAUGUGUCAGCUGUUUAACUAUUAAGGUGUUAUAUGUCCAUAUCUAGAAGGGCCAAUCCUCCUGCGUUGCUCUUCAUUGUUAUAAUUUUCCUGGUUGUUUUUGCUCAUUUAUCUUUUCAAAUGAAUGUCAGUGUUAACUUGCCUGGUUUAAAAAACCGUAUUUUAUUGAAGUUGUAUUAAGAGAAUAAAAAACUGUGGAUAAUUAAAAUUUUUAUGGUAUCAAUUUUUUUUCUCAUUCUAACAA